RNAcentral lists this ribosomal RNA (505 nucleotides) under uncultured bacterium. Its description in RNAcentral is "partial 16S ribosomal RNA". It matches the Rfam family "Bacterial small subunit ribosomal RNA", at positions 28 to 507 of the family's 1533-position model. The record is from RNAcentral.
GACGAACGCUGGCGGCGUGCCUAAUACAUGCAAGUAGAACGCACCGUUUAUACCGUAGCUUGCUACACCAUAGACUGUGAGUUGCGAACGGGUGAGUAACGCGUAAGUAACCUGCCUGGGAGCCUAGGAUAACUAUUGGACACGGUAGCUAAUACCUCAUAAUAUUAAUUAUUCCCUGGUAAUUGAUUGAAAUUUGCAACUGCAUCACUACCAGAGGGACCUGCGUUGUAUUAGCUAGUAGGGGUGGUAACGGCUCACCUAGGCGACGGUACAUAGACGACCUGAGAGGGUGAGCGGCCACACUGGGACUGGGACACGGCCCAGAAUCCUAGGGGAGGCAGCAGUAGGGAAUCUUUGGGAAAGGCCGAAAGGCUGAACGAGCGACGCCGCGCGAGUGAAGAAGGUAUUCGGGUCGUAAAGGUCUUUUGUAAGAGAAGAAUGGGUGUGAGAGUUGAAAGUUCACAUUGUGACGGUAUCUUAACAGAAAGGGACGGCUAACUACGUG